Molecule: long non-coding RNA, 298 nt
Filed under: Setaria italica (foxtail millet)
Lineage: Eukaryota; Viridiplantae; Streptophyta; Magnoliopsida; Poales; Poaceae
Description: long non-coding RNA (SITA_LNC001103)
Source: RNAcentral
UACAACACUGCUGGGGUAAGGCCAAAACACGCACUGCACGACCGGUUACAACGACACAACUGGAGGGUACAACUCUAAACUGCGGACCAUGACGGCUUCAUCCCUUGGGCAAUCCUGGCUGGGCAUACUACUCGCGGGGCGAGUCUUCUCCCUGGACUGAGUGAUCUUCUAUCGGAAGGAGAAGGGCCAGCACCUCGUCCUUCAGAGUCCCGCCCGUGGGAGGGGUCUUGGGAACCACUCCAUCCGACACCUCGGAGUCCCUUUCUGAAGGUGGUGGUGUCGGGGUGGCAUCCGGGCU